Molecule: non-coding RNA, 146 nt
Organism: Gossypium hirsutum (cotton)
Lineage: Eukaryota; Viridiplantae; Streptophyta; Magnoliopsida; Malvales; Malvaceae
Source: Rfam
AAAUCAAAGAACAAAUUGGUCCUUUCUGUUAAAAAUUGACGUGGCUAAUGGAAUAAUCAGACAGUUACAUGUGGUGUGCCAUGUGUACCUCAUGUUGACAUACAAGGACUAGAUUUUAAUAGAAGAAAUGAAUGAUUUUUUAAACA